AGCCUCAACAAGAUUACAGGUUGC
This 24-nucleotide non-coding RNA is filed under the name Arabidopsis thaliana (thale cress). Lineage: Eukaryota; Viridiplantae; Streptophyta; Magnoliopsida; Brassicales; Brassicaceae. The record is from RNAcentral.